MicroRNA precursor from Poecilia formosa (Amazon molly), 100 nucleotides. Lineage: Eukaryota; Metazoa; Chordata; Actinopteri; Cyprinodontiformes; Poeciliidae. The record is from Ensembl.
GAUAAGUGCUCCGCUGUGAGAACUGAAUUCCAUAGAUGGUGGCAUGUAAAGAUGUCAUCUAUGGAUCCAGUUCUUUUGGCUUGGUACUGGUUUGUCGAGC